Molecule: ribosomal RNA, 253 nt
Filed under: uncultured bacterium
Lineage: Bacteria
Description: partial 16S ribosomal RNA
Rfam family: Bacterial small subunit ribosomal RNA
Source: RNAcentral
UACGGAGGGUGCAAGCAUCGAUCGGAAUUACUGGGCGUAAAGGGCGCGUAGGCGGUUUAGAAAGUCAGAUGUGAAAUUCCGGGGCUCAACCCCGGAGCUGCAUUUGAAACUUCUAAGCUAGAGUUCAGUUAGGGUAAACAGAAUUCCACGCGUAGCGGUGAAAUGCGUAGAUAUGUGGAAGAACACCGGUGGCGAAGGCGGUUUUCUAUCUUAUUCCUGACGCUGAGGCGCUAAAGCAAGGGGAUCAAACAGG